AACACUUUAUCAAUUGGAAUGUCUCCUGAGGAAUUCCGGAAAGAAAUUACAGAAUUUCUUGUUAUUUCGGAUAAACUCAAUGAUUCUUGGGAACUUCGAAUUGGCAGGAAUAAUUUAAAUGAAGAAGUUCCUUAUUUGCUGAAAAAAGGAACAAAGAUUUCUUCCCGAGGAAAAAUUUUCAGCAUUGAAUUUCAUGUGAUAUACCAUUUUCUCACGAAGAUGUUUGGAGUCUCCUCAAGAUAGAAGAUUCUUCUCGUGAUUUUCUGUCUGUACUCACUCAAAUGGAUCAUCCGGCACACUUUCGACCACUCUGGACACUGCAUCCUUGCAAGACAUCAGAGAUCCUCGAAGGAAUUACUGGAAAUAGAAUUGUCGCAUUCUUGAGCGCUAUAGGACCAAGUAUAGGCAUCAAACUAAAUCUUGAAUAUGGUCUAGCGAUCUUAUGAGUCGGAUACUUUUAUAAAGUGGUGAGAUUCUUUUCAUUUACACUAGACGACAACAUUUUAUUACAAAGUUGGAAGCGUUGAAAAUAGAAGUUAGAAAUUUUUCAUAUCUGUCUGAUUACAAAGGCCUCUACACACUAGGUGAAAAUUUUGCAAAAAAAUGGUUUUUGUUAAAGAAAAUUUGCAGGCGGAAUCGUCAAAAUAUUCAAAGAAAAGGCCAUUUUUUACAAAAUUUGCUUUCAAGGGCUACAACAAAUAUGGUGUAAAACAAUUUUUCGGCUCUUAGUUAUUGAAAUAUAAUUUUGUCCGAUUUAUUUCUCUAAAUUUGUCAUUGUAACAACUAUCUCCGUUUUAGAUAAUUUAGCCAUUACAAUUGAAAUUGUUAUAUUUACGGUAGACUCUUUCUAAUUCGGUUGAAUUCAUUGGAUUACUAUAGUCACUCUGGAAUUUCUCAAUAACUUGGAUGACAUUUUGGUCCCAAAUUUCCGGAUUUGAGGAAUUCUUCUGUAUAUAUACAACAUCUCUGAAUUCAAGUCAAGAUCGUAAUUUUUGAAAAAAAAAAAACAUUAGAAGUAGAUUUUUAUUUAUGUAAAUAAAGAAAAAUAUAGCAAAAA
This is a long non-coding RNA of Phlebotomus papatasi, 1057 nucleotides long. RefSeq lists it as uncharacterized. The transcript has 2 exons. Lineage: Eukaryota; Metazoa; Arthropoda; Insecta; Diptera; Psychodidae. The record is from RefSeq and is a predicted model, not a curated record.